GCGCCCUUAGCUCAAUGGACCAGAGCACCUGGCUUCGGACCAGGGGGUUGGGGGUUCGAAUCCUCCAGGGCGCGCCA
RNAcentral lists this transfer RNA (77 nucleotides) under Gammaproteobacteria bacterium. RNAcentral's name for it is "tRNA-Arg". It matches the Rfam family "tRNA". Rfam says of the family: Transfer RNA (tRNA) molecules are approximately 80 nucleotides in length. Their secondary structure includes four short double-helical elements and three loops (D, anti-codon, and T loops). Lineage: Bacteria; Pseudomonadati; Pseudomonadota; Gammaproteobacteria. RNAcentral also lists the same sequence under 2 other names. The record is from RNAcentral.